RNAcentral lists this ribosomal RNA (1103 nucleotides) under uncultured marine eukaryote. RNAcentral's name for it is "SSU rRNA". It matches the Rfam family "Eukaryotic small subunit ribosomal RNA", at positions 648 to 1807 of the family's 1831-position model. The record is from RNAcentral.
GGGAUGAUUUUGGCUUCUGUCAGGUCAUAUCCAGGCAUCCGCCUGCAAGACCUUUCCGGCGUUCACUUGUCGAUAGGAGGAGCAGGCAUUUUACUUUGAAAAAAUUAGAGUGUUUAAGGCAGGCAAUUGCCCGCAUAUAUUAGCAUGGAAUAAUAGAAUAGGACACUUUUCCAUUUCGUUGGUUAUUGGAAUCGUGUAAUGAUUAAUAGGGACAGUUGUGGGCAUUUGUAUUUAAUUGUCAGAGGUGAAAUUCUUGGAUUUAUUAAAGACAAACUAACGCGAAAGCAUUUGCCAAGGAUGUUUUCAUUAAUCAAGAACGAAAGUUAGGGGAUCAAAGACGAUCAGAUACCGUCCUAGUCUUAACUAUAAACUAUUCCGACUCAAUGUUCGACUGGCUUAUAUAACCAGUUGAGCGUUGUAUGAGGAAUCAAAGUCUUUAGGUUCUGGGGGGAGUAUGGUUGCAAAGCUGAAACUUAAAGGAAUUGACGGAAGAGCACAACCAGGAGUGGAUUCUGCGGCUUAAUUUGACUCAACACGGGGAAACUUACCAGGUUAAAACAAUAGUGGGAUUGACAGUUUGAGAGCGCUUUCUUGAUUCGUUGGGUGGUGGUGCAUGGCCGUUCUUAGUUGGUGGAGUGAUUUGUCUGCUUAAUUGCGUUAACGAACGAGACCUUAACCUGCUUACUAGACUAUUGAUGUAUAAUCGGUAGCUCUUCUUAGAGGGACUUUGGUUGUUUUAACUCCAAGGAGGUUUGAGGCAAUAACAGGUCUGUGAUGCCCUUAGAUAUCCUGGGCCGCACGCGUCAUACGAUGACCAGUUCAGAAAGUUUCAUCCUGAUCCGGAAGGAUACGGGUAAUCUUGACAGUACUGGUCGUGUUAGGGAUCGAUCUUUGCAAUUAUAGAUUUUGAACGAGGAAUUCCUAGUAAGUGCAGUUCAUCAGACUGUACUGAUUACGUCCCUGCUCUUUGUACACACCGCCCGUCGCUUCUACCGAGUGAGUGGUCCGGUGAAAUACUUGAAUUUGGCUGGAUUUAUUCGGUCGGAGAAGAUUAUCAAACCUAUCCACUUCGAGGAAGAAGAAGUCGUAACAAGGUAGCCGUA